Molecule: ribosomal RNA, 303 nt
Filed under: uncultured bacterium
Lineage: Bacteria
Description: bacterial SSU rRNA
Rfam family: Bacterial small subunit ribosomal RNA
Source: RNAcentral
AUUGAACGCUGGCGGCAUGCCUUACACAUGCAAGUCGAACGGCAGCACGGACUUCGGUCUGGUGGCGAGUGGCGAACGGGUGAGUAAUACAUCGGAACGUGCCUAGUAGUGGGGGAUAACUACUCGAAAGAGUGGCUAAUACCGCAUGAGAUCUACGGAUGAAAGCAGGGGAUCGCAAGACCUUGUGCUACUAGAGCGGCCGAUGGCAGAUUAGGUAGUUGGUGGGAUAAAAGCUUACCAAGCCAACGAUCUGUAGCUGGUCUGAGAGGACGAUCAGCCACACUGGGACUGAGACACGGCCAG